RNAcentral lists this ribosomal RNA (245 nucleotides) under uncultured bacterium. Its description in RNAcentral is "partial 16S ribosomal RNA". It matches the Rfam family "Bacterial small subunit ribosomal RNA", at positions 524 to 768 of the family's 1533-position model. The record is from RNAcentral.
UACGGAGGGUGCAAGCAUUGAUCGGAAUUACUGGGCGUAAAGGGCGCGUAGGCGGCCGUAAAAGUCAGGUGUGAAAUUCCGGGGCUCAACCCCGGAGCUGCACUUGAAACUCUAUGGCUUGAGGUUGGUGAGGGAAAACGGAAUUCCACGUGUAGCGGUGAAAUGCGUAGAUAUGUGGAAGAACACCGGUGGUGAAGGCGGUUUUCUGUGCUAAACCUGACGCUGAGGCGCGAGAGCUAGGGGAG